Molecule: ribosomal RNA, 1433 nt
Filed under: uncultured organism
Description: SSU rRNA
Rfam family: Bacterial small subunit ribosomal RNA
Source: RNAcentral
GCUAGCUACAGGCUUAACACAUGCAAGUCGAGGGGCAGCAUGGUCUUAGCUUGCUAAGGCCGAUGGCGACCGGCGCACGGGUGAGUAACACGUAUCCAACCUGCCGUCUACUCUUGGACAGCCUUCUGAAAGGAAGAUUAAUACAAGAUGGCAUCAUGAGUCCGCAUGUUCACAUGAUUAAAGGUAUUCCGGUAGACGAUGGGGAUGCGUUCCAUUAGAUAGUAGGCGGGGUAACGGCCCACCUAGUCUUCGAUGGAUAGGGGUUCUGAGAGGAAGGUCCCCCACAUUGGAACUGAGACACGGUCCAAACUCCUACGGGAGGCAGCAGUGAGGAAUAUUGGUCAAUGGGCGAGAGCCUGAACCAGCCAAGUAGCGUGAAGGAUGACUGCCCUAUGGGUUGUAAACUUCUUUUAUAAAGGAAUAAAGUCGGGUAUGGAUACCCGUUUGCAUGUACUUUAUGAAUAAGGAUCGGCUAACUCCGUGCCAGCAGCCGCGGUAAUACGGAGGAUCCGAGCGUUAUCCGGAUUUAUUGGGUUUAAAGGGAGCGUAGAUGGAUGUUUAAGUCAGUUGUGAAAGUUUGCGGCUCAACCGUAAAAUUGCAGUUGAUACUGGAUAUCUUGAGUGCAGUUGAGGCAGGCGGAAUUCGUGGUGUAGCGGUGAAAUGCUUAGAUAUCACGAAGAACUCCGAUUGCGAAGGCAGCCUGCUAAGCUGCAACUGACAUUGAGGCUCGAAAGUGUGGGUAUCAAACAGGAUUAGAUACCCUGGUAGUCCACACGGUAAACGAUGAAUACUCGCUGUUUGCGAUAUACAGCAAGCGGCCAAGCGAAAGCGUUAAGUAUUCCACCUGGGGAGUACGCCGGCAACGGUGAAACUCAAAGGAAUUGACGGGGGCCCGCACAAGCGGAGGAACAUGUGGUUUAAUUCGAUGAUACGCGAGGAACCUUACCCGGGCUUAAAUUGCAGAUGAAUUACGGUGAAAGCCGUAAGCCGCAAGGCAUCUGUGAAGGUGCUGCAUGGUUGUCGUCAGCUCGUGCCGUGAGGUGUCGGCUUAAGUGCCAUAACGAGCGCAACCCUUGUUGUCAGUUACUAACAGGUUCCGCUGAGGACUCUGACAAGACUGCCAUCGUAAGAUGUGAGGAAGGUGGGGAUGACGUCAAAUCAGCACGGCCCUUACGUCCGGGGCUACACACGUGUUACAAUGGGGGGUACAGAGGGCCGCUACCACGCGAGUGGAUGCCAAUCCCCAAAACCUCUCUCAGUUCGGACUGGAGUCUGCAACCCGACUCCACGAAGCUGGAUUCGCUAGUAAUCGCGCAUCAGCCACGGCGCGGUGAAUACGUUCCCGGGCCUUGUACACACCGCCCGUCAAGCCAUGGGAGCCGGGGGUACCUGAAGUGCGUAACCGCGAGGAGCGCCCUAGGGUAAAACUGGA